AUGCGCCGCCGCCGGGAAGCCCACCGUAUCUGGCCUCCCCUGGUGCACCCCCUCCUCCACGGCGCAGUCGGUCCGUAUCCCACGUUGCGGGAGCCGCAGCGAGCCACGGGAGCCAGGAGCGGCAGUGCUAAGUGGGUGGGGCCGGCAGCGGCAGGCGGCGGCACUAGAUCCGAGGAACGCCACGGGAGGCACGUCAGGCAGGGACAACCAUGGCCGGUGGAGUCGAGCGGCGGUCAGUGA
RNAcentral lists this ribosomal RNA (240 nucleotides) under Triticum aestivum (bread wheat). RNAcentral describes it as "partial small subunit ribosomal RNA". The record is from RNAcentral. Lineage: Eukaryota; Viridiplantae; Streptophyta; Magnoliopsida; Poales; Poaceae.